RNAcentral lists this long non-coding RNA (4924 nucleotides) under Brassica napus (rape). RNAcentral describes it as "long non-coding RNA (BNAP_LNC007138)". The record is from RNAcentral. Lineage: Eukaryota; Viridiplantae; Streptophyta; Magnoliopsida; Brassicales; Brassicaceae.
AGGAUCAGUAACUAGUGGCAAGCCAGCACUUGUAUCAGUGGCUCUAGUAGUUGGUAGAGAAAAGGGAAGCAAAUUAGUAUCCUGAGAUAGGGUAGGAGGUGCAGCAAUAGGAGCCUUGUUCGAAAACAAAGGAGGUGCCAUCUCUGAAGCUAGGGAAGGAGAUGGUGCUGACUGCAACGUUGAUUGGAGGCCUGAAGACAGCGUCAUAGGUAAACCAGUAAAAGGCAAAGAACUGGGUGCUAGAGCUUGAGAACUGCUACUAUAAGGAAACAGUGACGAAGGUGGUUCCGGCAAGCUUGAGCCCUGCAAAUUUGAUGAGCCAGCAGGUGGAGGGGCAUUAAAGUUAGGAUACGGAAUGGGUUGCGGCAGGGAACCGGGCAUAGGCAGCCCAUGAGGAGGCCGAAUCAAAGACUGUUGAUGCAACUGGGGAAGGCCAUUGGGAGGUGGGGUGUAGUAUCCUUGCCAAUACAUUGGUGGUUGAGGUGAGGCUCCCCAAGGAGCAAGAUUUCCACCAGGCUGAUACAAAGGCAUUGAGUUUUGGAAUCCCAUCCCAUGCUGCCCAGGUUGUCCAUUAUGAGAACUAAUGUCAGGCAUUGAACUGCUCACGGCGGGAGGCAAGCCACUAGAUGUUGGGAUCGGGCUAGGAUAAUGAGACUGCAAAACAGAGACAAUCGGGGCAUGAAGACACAUCUCUACAAGAUUACUCUACAACAUCUCCAUUAUAUUCACCUGAAUUAUAGCAGGAUCAUUGUUUAAGGUAGGUGGAGCUGGAGGCUGAACUGGUGGAGAGGCUUUGACUUGCAAAUCCUGCCAAUAACAAGAAGAGUCAGUGCACAAACAGAGAUAGUUACAUCAAAGCAUACGCACAAUCCUGUUUGGAUACCUUGAUAUCGGUUCCACGGAACAAUAUGUACUCAUAAACUUUCUCACUUGGAGGAACUUGAGGACCAUCUUUUUUCCUUCCUUCAGUUCCAAAUGAUCGGACUACAUACGUUGAAAAUCACACAGAUCAGUACAUACUAAGCUUAUUCAAAGAUUCACCAACAGUUUCAAGACUUUGAUUACAAUCUGAUGAGCUUAGAUAGUAGACAUGAGCACAACUUAUUAAUGAAGAUCCAAUCACAAGAGCACACAGGGAUAGAUAGAGCAUAAGAGUUAUACACUACACAUCUAACAAUCCUGAGACGGAAUCGUACCGUUUUGAAGUCCGAUACUGGAUUCAUCGGUGUUGAUGUUGUAAAGGAUGCCUUCGUAUCUGAUCUCGCUCUUGGAAGUCAAACUAAUCAAGCUCCCUACGUAAGAAUCUGCCGAGGAGGAGCUCGAUUUCGCGCCCGUGUUAUCAGUCGCCAUACCGGAUCUAUAUCUCUCUCUUUCGCCAAAUCCACAAACAAAGAGAGAGAGAAAUAAACCAGAGUCGAGAAAGGGCAAAGCAAAGAUCCCCUUCGAGAGAGAAAGCUACAGACAAUUAGGGUUUACUCUGAUUUGGGGGAGAUGAGAUCGAGAGAGAGCAUCUCUUUCUGAUUAUCCGUAAAAAAACCCCCAAGAAAAUAUGUAUAUUACCAUAAUAGCCUCGUCUAGUAACACUAGCUUUCAUCUUCUAACUAAUUGUAGACCGCCACGUGUCUAAGUACGGAGGGCCUCGCCGUCAUUCACCAAUGAUGUUCUCACAGCCAGUGGGCUACGAGCCACUCCAAUUGCACGGCUCGUGUUCGUAUUGAUUAGCCUGUAGGCUGUAUUUACAAGUGUAACCCUGUUCCUGUGAAUAAUUUACGCUCGGAGCCUGUGUUGAUUGGUUCCGUAAAACGACUGCGUUUAAGCUUAGCGACAACCACGAAGACGCACAACAAAGCCACUGAUUAGCCUUUUUCUUAUGAAGCAUUGUGCUUUAACAUUUUUUUUUAAUAUUCAUGCUGCUUUGAUACAUAACCUAUUGUUUUCUUGUAUUGACUUUUCUUGUAAAGAGCUUAUCUUCCUGUUCAAUACUGGCAACUCAGGAGAAGACCAAUACAGUUUAAUGAGGCUAACUAAAUAAAGACUUUUUUUAUUCACUGAUCUUUGUUGUUCUACAAUUACACAAACCGAGAAUGACAAAAGAAUCAACGUGUAUUGCAAACUGGAAUACAGUUCAUCAUCAUGUUCAGAGUUCAAAACCACUCCGUAUCUUCCAAGUAUAAUGGUUCUUCUGUCUCCUUGUUAAGUACUAUACACAGAAGGAGUUUACUUCACUCUGCUCUACUGGGAGAUAGAGAGAGUGAAAGUUAGAACGGACUGACCCAGUGAGCCAACUUCAACAUGAAUUCAGGCACAAGACGCCUUCUGUCUACGCUUUUACCAACCACUUCUGAGUCGCCUCCCAGGACCACUGAUACUAUAUCUUCAAACAUCUCAUCUACUCCACCUCUCAUUGGAUCCUAACAUAUAUAAACCAAGUUUCUAGAUCAAAUAUUCAGGUUCUUUUACGAAUAGACAUUCAAGACCUGCCAUUUUGUACCUGAAGAAACAGAUCCGUGUGUGUUUUCCCCUCGUAAAGGAUCACUUCUGCUUUACCUCCAAGUCUCUGGAGGGUUUCCGCAAAAGAUUUACUACAAAAAAAAAAAACAACGCACGAGAAGUUCAAUCACCAUAUCAACCACCUGAACUACAUGAGACAAGACAUGCACACACAAGGCUAUUGAAGUUUAGCCAUACCUUGCAUCUGAAGGGAUGGAGUAGUCAGCAGUACCAUGGAAUAGAAUAAUAGGUGGGAGACGAGCAAUAAUGUGUUUAAGAUUUGGAUUUUGCACUACUAGUUCAGGAGAAAACUGACUUAAUGAUUCCUCUCCUUCCAUGAUGCUGCGGAAAACAAAAGUCACACGUUAAACCUUAGGUUGCUCUACAGGUCAGGUGAGCAUCUUAAGCUAUUCCAAGAUUUGAUAUUAUACCUCAGGAAAAUGGAACGAUAGAGUCCCCUGCUAUGGAAGUGAUCUACAAGGCUCAGAAGGUUGUACCUGUAAAUCAUGAUCACAGAAAUUUCAAAGGAAAGUAAAACAGAUAAUUGUUAAGUGUAAAACAUUUUCUAUAACUUCUUAGUCUUUAGUUGGAUAUAAGACAUGAAUCUACUUGCUUCAUUAAGCUGCUCUUUGAAAUAACGCUAUGCGAUUAUCUACAACCAUUUCACGAAAAUUACUCGAAAAUAAACUUGUUUAUAACAGCUUAUUGAGACGUCUCAAUUCCAUUAUUCCAAUGUCAUUAUGAGAACUCACCAAAUGUCUGGAAUCAUACCAAAUACCGUUUGUCAAAUGUCAAUGAGUUUCUCUUCAGAUUCUGGAACUAAUUAUGUCCAGCCUGCUUUUUGACCGAAGAAAUAUACUAUAGAUUGUACCUCAGUAUCUAGUUUACGUAGCUCUGAGAACCUAGGCCUUGCAUUUUGGGAAUCUCGGUCCCCGGAGUUUGAUGAUAGGCUAUCGAAAAAGUCGUCUUUGUUGUAAACAGGCUACAUCAAUAAAACAAUUAAGGCAUAUGAGACCAGAGAGGGGGAUGGAACAUGGCGGUUUUACUUUAUUAUAAGUUUACUUGACUUACUUUGACCUCGACCUUAGGCAGCUCAGGUUCAUCAACGAUUGGGAAAUCAUCAUCACCAUCACCAUUGGUGCUCUUCCCAAGAUGACCCCAAACUUCAUCCUUAUUGAACUUUUCAUUCAUCGCCGUGAAGUCAAAAUCUUCAGUGAACUUCAUUACCUGGUGUGAUCGCUGCCAACAAGGAGGAUUAUUAGCAUACUUGGCUAUGAUUCAUGAGCUUACUUUAACUAGUAGAUGUUAGCAAAAACCAUUAAAUGCCUCGACACAUUCUAAAAAUGAGAGAGAAGAAUAUUACCCCUGCUCCUCUUCCCCUUCCUCUCCCACGUCCCCUGUAACCAUUAUAGGUUGGGAAGGAAUGCCCGUUUGGCUGAGAAAAAAAAAUCAGCAAACGAGAUCAACUAAUCAUCAAACAAUGAAGACUUGUAUGUAGACAUUCAAGAAGAAAUCUAAUACAGACCAAGGAAGGAACCAAGAGAGAUUUUCAUGCCUCUUUUACAAAGAAAAAAGAGGCUUAGGAUGGGUAUUACCACAGGUGCAAAUAUAACAGCUACAGGUUAUUCAAGCAAAUGGAAGAUCAUAUCAAGUUCGUUACUCCUCAAAAAAAAUUCUCUAGAAUUCAAGGGUCGUUCUCAUAUCAGUAAGUGAAGUAGCAAAUAUCGUUUAAAGGGAUGACAAGCAACUAAAUAGAUUUGGAAAUUUGUGUAAGUUCAAAACCUUAUGAGUUGGCCUUGCAGAGGAAGGCAAUGGCAGUAUUGGGGGUUGGGCUUCUGAUGUAACUGAAGCAGAUUGUUCCAAAGCAGCUGAUGAUGAUACUUGAACCACCUCAUCAUCUUUACCAGCGUUGUUAGAGGGUGGGGACAAAGAGACUGACGCAGAUCCAGACUGCAACAGUUGGCCAGGAGUAACCAACAAAGGUUUUGGCUUAUCUUGGCUGAUGGAACUAGAAACUUUAGAAUCAGGAGCAGAUGCUAAUGGUGUUGCCUGUGGCACAGAUAUAGGAUCAGUAACUAGUGGCAAGCCAGCACUUGUAUCAGUGGCUCUAGUAGUUGGUAGAGAAAAGGGAAGCAAAUUAGUAUCCUGAGAUAGGGUAGGAGGUGCAGCAAUAGGAGCCUUGUUCGAAAACAAAGGAGGUGCCAUCUCUGAAGCUAGGGAAGGAGAUGGUGCUGACUGCAACGUUGAUUGGAGGCCUGAAGACAGCGUCAUAGGUAAACCAGUAAAAGGCAAAGAACUGGGUGCUAGAGCUUGAGAACUGCUACUAUAAGGAAACAGUGACGAAGGUGGUUCCGGCAAGCUUGAGCCCUGCAAAUUUGAUGAGCCAGCAGGUGGAGGGGCAUUAAAGUUAGGAUACGGAAUGGGUUGCGGCAGG